This 393-nucleotide ribosomal RNA is filed under the name uncultured bacterium. Its description in RNAcentral is "partial 16S ribosomal RNA". It matches the Rfam family "Bacterial small subunit ribosomal RNA", at positions 338 to 729 of the family's 1533-position model. The record is from RNAcentral.
CCUACGGGAGGCAGCAGUGAGGAAUAUUGGUCAAUGGACGCGAGCCUGAACCAGCCAAGUAGCGUGAGGGAAGACGGUCCUAUGGAUUGUAAACCUCUUUUAUCAGGGAACAAAACGCGCCACGCGUGGCUUUCCGCGAGUACCCGAAGAAAAAGCAUCGGCUAACUCCGUGCCAGCAGCCGCGGUAAUACGGAGGAUGCGAGCGUUAUCCGGAUUUAUUGGGUUUAAAGGGUGCGUAGGCGGAAUAUCAAGUCAGCGGUAAAAGUUCGGGGCUCAACCGAGUCGUGCCGUUGAAACUGAUGGUCUUGAGUGGGCGAGAAGUAGGCGGAAUGCGUGGUGUAGCGGUGAAAUGCAUAGAUAUCACGCAGAACUCCGAUUGCGAAGGCAGCAUAC